CUCAAAGUGCUGUACAGAAACCCAACCUAAAACCCGGACAGGAAGAUCACGUCAGUGACUCAACCCAGUCAAGUGACGCACCCCUCCUAGGGACAGCAUGGAAGAGCACCAGUAAGCCAGUGACUCAGCCCCUGUAAUAGGGUUAGAGGCAGAGAAUACCAGUGGAAAGAGGGGAACCGGCCAGGCAGAGACAGCAAAGGCGGUAUGUUGCUCGAGUGCCUUUCCGUUCACCUUCACACUCCUGGGCUAGACUACACUCAAUCAUAGGACCUACAGAAGAGAUGAGUCUUCAAUAAAGACUUAAAGGUUGAGACCGAGUGUGCGUCUCUCACAUGGGUCCUGGCAGAGUUGUGCAGACUCAGGACAACUGAGCUUUGGAGGAAUACGCAGAUUUAAAGAGGAGUCCGUAAUUUACUUUCUAAUGAUCAUGAUCUUUUCCUCAAAGAAAUUCAUGAAUUUAUCACUGUUGAAGUGAAAGCCAUCCUCGCUUGGGGAAUGCUGCUAUUUAGUUAGCUUUGCGACCGUAUCCCCAAAAAAUUGGGGAUUUGUCACGACUUCCGCCGAAGUUUGUCCCUCUCCUUGUUCGGGCGGCGUUUGGCGGUCGAAGUCGCCGACCUUCUAGCCAUCGCUGAUCCUCUUUUCAUUUUCCUUUGGUUUUGUCUUGUCUUGUAUCAUACCUUGUUCCAAUCCCAUUCAUUACAUGUUGUGUAUUUAACCCUCUGUUCCCCCUCAUUGUCCUUGUCAGUGAUUGUUUGUUUGUAAGCUAUGUGCAAGAUAUGUUCUGGUGUGCGAUGGGUUUUAUGCCCACUUGUAUUAUUAUGUAUAUUUUGGUUUUCUGCGUUUUUGAAAACUUAUUAAACUACUGUUUUAUACCAAGUUCUAUCUCCUGCGCCUGACUUCCCUGCCACCAGCAAGCACCCUUACAGGAUUGUUAUUUUUUUCCUCAAUUACAGUUUUUCUCCAUUGGUUUGGCUCAUUUCUUGAAACAGAAAUUACAUUCUCAAAACUCUAAGAUCAUUUGGCAAAACAGUCUUACAGUUCAGCACAACACUAUAGCUCACUUGCAAAAGCUCAUAUCUCUCCUAAAACUGUUCACUCAUGCUUCAAAACUAAAUUCCUUUCCCAUAUAAAGAGUCAGUGCCACGAAAAUGGCAAAGAUCCUUCUCAAUUGCUUUGGCUCAUUUCUUGAAACAGACCGGACGUUCUCAACACUCUUGGUGCUUUAACCAAAACUACAUUUCCUUCUCAUUUAAACAGUCAGUGCCCCCAAAAUGCUUCGUCCCUUUGGCAUUGUGUAAGCACUGCAAGUCAAAAUGUUUAGAUGUUUUGUCACUAUGGCAGAGGACCAUUGAACUAUCCCUCAUGUCCACCUUUCAGUCUUAGCCCAGUCCUUCAUUGACAAUGGUUACUGUACUGUUUUUUGUCCAGC
Molecule: long non-coding RNA, 1429 nt
Filed under: Salmo salar (Atlantic salmon)
Lineage: Eukaryota; Metazoa; Chordata; Actinopteri; Salmoniformes; Salmonidae
Description: lncRNA (ENSSSAG00000100473.1)
Source: RNAcentral